This 497-nucleotide ribosomal RNA is filed under the name uncultured archaeon. RNAcentral's name for it is "bacterial SSU rRNA". It matches the Rfam family "Bacterial small subunit ribosomal RNA", at positions 899 to 1397 of the family's 1533-position model. The record is from RNAcentral.
ACUCAAAUGAAUUGACGGGGGCCCGCACAAGCGGAGGAACAUGUGGUUUAAUUCGAUGAUACGCGAGGAACCUUACCUGGGCUUAAAUGUAGAGUGCAUGUGGUGGAAACACCCUUCCCUUCGGGGCUUUCUACAAGGUGCUGCAUGGUUGUCGUCAGCUCGUGCCGUGAGGUGUCGGGUUAAGUCCCAUAACGAGCGCAACCCCUACCGUUAGUUGCCAUCAGGUCAAGCUGGGGACUCUAGCGGGACUGCCACCGUAAGGUGAGAGGAAGGUGGGGAUGACGUCAAAUCAGCACGGCCCUUAUGUCCAGGGCUACACACGUGUUACAAUGGCAGGUACAAAGGGCAGCUACACCGUGAGGUGAUGCUAAUCUCUAAAGCCUGUCCCAGUUCGGAUUGGAGUCUGCAACCCGACUCCAUGAAGUUGGAUUCGCUAGUAAUCGCGCAUCAGCCAUGGCGCGGUGAAUACGUUCCCGGGCCUUGUACACACCGCCCGU